GAUCCUUUAGACCUUCGG
RNAcentral lists this small nuclear RNA (18 nucleotides) under Arabidopsis thaliana (thale cress). Its description in RNAcentral is "snRNA_09407". Lineage: Eukaryota; Viridiplantae; Streptophyta; Magnoliopsida; Brassicales; Brassicaceae. The record is from RNAcentral.